AAUGCUUUUCGCGCGUUGCCCGAAACAUUGAAUAAAGGAUUGUCUGUUCUUAUCAGCUUAAUGUGUGGUACGGGUCCUUUGGACCCAAGAUAUUAAACUUAUUAUUGGAAUGGGGCGGAGUGCUCUAAGCUUGCUUCACCUCCGCCACGGUUCGGCUCGAUAGUGCACUAUCUCCGGGAUCAUCCCAUUCAGC
This is a small nuclear RNA of Rhipicephalus sanguineus (brown dog tick), 193 nucleotides long. RefSeq annotates it as U2 spliceosomal RNA. NCBI's taxonomy places the organism in Eukaryota, Metazoa, Arthropoda, Arachnida, Ixodida, Ixodidae. The record is from RefSeq and is a predicted model, not a curated record. The transcript has a single exon.